CACAGUCCUUCUGUAGCAGAGCUUAACGGAGACCUUGCACCCGAGAGGGGGGACCGACUCUAAAGAACUCCCAGCGCAAGUCAGCACCGCUGGCAACACAAUCGAAUUGCGGGGACGCUUUAAAGCUCACCAGUACCAACUACUCUUCUAGGGUAGGGCUAGCACAGCUAGAGGUCACAAUCUGGUGGGAUGGUACAAUAAGCAAUCCGCAGCGGCUAAGCCGUCCACAGACUAAGUGGUUGUGGGUAGGAGACCCCUAUCUAAGAUAUAGUCGGGCCUUGUGAGCAAUCACAGGGGUUCUGCGUCCGUAGGUGAACCUGCGGAAGGAUCAUUAC
Molecule: non-coding RNA, 335 nt
Filed under: Acephala sp. ZK96/08
Lineage: Eukaryota; Fungi; Ascomycota; Leotiomycetes; Helotiales; Mollisiaceae
Description: partial 18S ribosomal RNA
Rfam family: Group I catalytic intron (bases 14-295)
About the family: Group I catalytic introns are large self-splicing ribozymes.
Source: RNAcentral